Molecule: long non-coding RNA, 1600 nt
Organism: Aegilops tauschii subsp. strangulata
Lineage: Eukaryota; Viridiplantae; Streptophyta; Magnoliopsida; Poales; Poaceae
Source: RefSeq, a predicted model, not a curated record
AAUCCCCCCUUACCUCCCCACGCCCCCACUUCCUCCCUGAUCCAGCCACCAUCCCCACGCCCCUACUCCCUCUCCCAUCCAGCCACCCACCAUCGUCGGCGUCGGCCCACCACCGCCUCGGGAAUCGGCCGCCGCACCGCCCCCGCUCCGAGAACCGGCCACCGCUUCCCUCCCUUACCGCGCCGCCGCCGCUUCCCUCCCCGGACUGCGCCACCGCCGCCGUCACCCUCCACGGAUCAUGCCACCGCCGCCUCCCUCCCCGGAUUGUGCCGCCACCAUCUGCCGCUAGCUAUCGCUGCCUGUGCAGUCCUUCGCUAGCUGCCGCUGCGGUCCACCGCUAGCUCUCGCGGGGGAGGCAGUGCUGCUCCGGCUACCCAUGCGUCACCGGCUGCCGCCGCGAACGGCGUCCGGACGCCAUCACGUCUGCCCCCCGGCGCCGCCUCGGGACAAACCUCUUCCACGCGGGCGACUGGCCGCUCAAACUUCCCCUCGCCGGCCGUCGUGGGCCUCUGUAUCCUCUCAUGGCGGCUCCUCCCCUGUUCACAAGCAAGGUCAACUGCGGAUGGAUGAGACUCAAAAAAUGGUGGUACGUACUGGAAAAUACUCCUGGCAUACUCAUGUCGUUGGCAGCAGAAGGUCAUCGGGCUGGGCACCGGCUGCUUAUGUGUUGUACGCCUUGGGCGUCCCUGUGCUGGUGAUGAGCAUGAUGGCCGUGCAUUGACCUGCAUCGCCUGUCCGAACUGUGCCGGCCAUGCGUACGACGACCUCGUCCAUCCCUGAUCACCUCUUCCGCGCAAUCAGCCGCGCAUACACAGACAUGCCUGUGCUGUAUUAUACUUGAACUUCAGAGCUUCUGAACUCUUUGUAUCGGUGUGCAUGUUUUUAUAUUGUGUCAUUGCAUAGCUCCACCACUGAAUUUGGAAAUUCAGUCAAUGCUUAAACUUGAUAAAAAAGAGCAAGAAACAGUGACAGAUUAUGUGUGUUUUUCACGGAAGUGAGCUGGGAAUUAAGAUGUUCCUUUUUCAUAAUAUUAAGGGCAUCGAUCAUUCAACUAUUUAUGUUAUCCUUCGUGCUCUGACUUGAGUGAAGUUAUGUGAACUAGCAUAGUAUAUUGUAAUUUUCUGAUUUUGAGUCAUGGCAUAUAGUCCUCACACAAAGUAGUUGAAAAUAUAUUGAAGUAUAUUAUGCACAUAGUUAUCCUCCCUAAUGCCUAAACUGGUACCUUUUCAAUCUUUGUGCUGACUACUAAACAUAAUUAUUGUAGGUCUUCCCUGACCCAUGGUCACGCGAAAGCGGUGCUACUCCGGCAAGCUCCUCUAUCCCCCGAGCACAGUGUUGUCCAUGACGGUCUCCUCCCUCCUGUUCCCUCAGCGAGGAUGAUGUCAUUUUUUGCGAAACAGAAAGUUAUGUAGUUCUUCAGUAUAUGUCCAUAGAAACCUAUGACAAUUUCUUCAGUAGCAGUUCAACAAAAAAUCAUGUUGUAGUUCUUGAGUAUUGUUCCAUUAGAAUUUCAUGUUAUCUAAGUAUUUUUAGUACUUGCUAUUGCAGAUAAGUGUUUGUUAGAAUUGACAUUCUAUUAGUAAAGUACCAUUCUUCAGUA